UCAAGAGUGUAUAACCCCCCUUGUAAAAUAGUGGGGUUAACCUCCCGUCCUUUGCUAACCCCUCCCUUUUGGAGGGGGGCAUUAAAUUUUCUGCUUCGGUGGGGUUUACCCACCGGAACACCCUCAAAAAUUCUUUAAAAAUUAUUCAGUCCGAGAAUUUUUUAAAUUAAACAAA
Molecule: unclassified non-coding RNA, 175 nt
Filed under: uncultured fungus
Lineage: Eukaryota; Fungi
Description: sequence contains ITS1
Source: RNAcentral